UGUAAGCGUAUACCAAAGUUGUUGCAGUUAAAACGCUCGUAGUCGGAAUUUGGCAGUUCCGGAAGUGUGCACGUCGUGUGCGCACUUUGCGGGGACUGCUUUUGUGGUCUUGCGUAGGAUGAGGCACUUUCAUUAGUGAACGUCCUCACGCAACCACUCUUUACUGUGAGAAAAUCAGAGUGCUCAAAGCAGGCAUUUGCCGGGAAUGUAUUAGCAUGGAAUAAUAGAAUAGGACUCGGUUCUAUUUUGUUGGUUUGUUGGGACUGAGUAAUGAUUAAGAGGGACAGUUGGGGGCAUUUGUAUUCCGGCGCUAGAGGUGAAAUUCUUAGAUUGCCGGAAGACAAACUGCUGCGAAAGCGUCUGCCAAGGAUGUUUUCAUUGA
Molecule: ribosomal RNA, 382 nt
Filed under: uncultured eukaryote
Lineage: Eukaryota
Description: partial 18S ribosomal RNA
Rfam family: Eukaryotic small subunit ribosomal RNA
Source: RNAcentral